AACUGAAAUGUCCUCGAACCUGUUCGUUUCUAGCUAGAACCACCGUGGAGGAUGUCUGCCAUGGCAUGACAGGCUGGGCAGUCGGAGACAAAAGGGCUCCUUCCUGGAACUUCUGUGGGUAACAGUGCCUGUAGUUGGGCACUUUUGAUUCUGUAAAACUAGAGCCUUUCUGGGAGAUUGGUGGCAGAGGAGAGGCAGGGGCUGGGAGGAGGAGCUCUCUGGGACGUCCAGGGCAAGUGAUGUGAGCCUGAUGAGGCGCAGGCCUGGGUAUCAGCCUUGACUGGAUCUCAGUUACAUGGCAUAACAGGAAGGUGAUGCUGCUGGGCCAGGACAGGGCUCCUGAAGGAAUCUUUGUGGCCUCCUGACUUGACCUUUGAAAGUGAAUUCUGCUUGGCAAAUGACAUUGGCCACAAAGCUGCUACCGUCACAGGCUGAACCCUGAUCUGGCCUCUCCAUCAGGCCAUCCACAUGGUGGCUCUUACCUCUAGAUGAAAGACCGUUGUCACUCGGAGUCCCUUCCCACCCCUGCCAGGGGCUGAUACCACUGACUGUUGGCAGCAGCUCUGAAGCUGGCAGAUGGCACACGUCUGCCUCAGAAGGGUUCCCAGUUCCGUUGACAGCUCCCCUAGGAUACCACUGAUGUUCUUAAGAGGGGCUGUGAAAUUCUCAGAUAAUUCUCAAAAUAAAAAUUUUAAUACAUUUUCAUUUAAAAAUAAUAAGUGCUAGACAGAACCAGAAAGUUGGUUGCAGAUGGAAGUCAGGCAGUGAAGCCAGUCAUCAUGGACCACCGCACCUGGGAGGGUGGGCGAGAUCCCUAUCCUCACAGCCACCCUUUAGGUGCCAGAUCCCCAGAUCCAGCGGUGGGGACCACCCCCCCAGACCCCAUCACACUCCUGUGAUUUGGGGACCUGAGCUCUAAACUCCCUGAAGACAGAGCCUGUCCUUUGUGACUGUUGAGACCUGUUUAUUGCAGAGCAGAGGGGCGCAGGGACCCCAGACAUAAAUAUGCCGAUGCCCUCCUCCUCCUCCCCUGGCACUCCCCCUCCUUCUCUGCCCCACUCCACUGACAUCCCUCUCUUGUCCCCUCCUCCUUUCUCCCCACAGCUCCUUCCUGGCUCAGCCUGCCCCUUGCAAUCUUUCUUCCCAUAGAACCCUUCCUUCUGUCUUCUUUCCCCUCCUUUAAAGUAGGAGAAACAAGGAUUCUGAGGACCAGGCAGAAACGUGCAGAUUUUCUGGUCCAAACCCACCCUGCUCUCAGAGCAUUUCUCUCCCCUCCCAUCACUGUAUUUCAUUCUCCUGGGCUUCGUCCUUUGUCUGCUUUGACUUCUCUCUGUCCCUGUCCCUAUUGCUGAGCCUUGUCCUGCACCUUCCCCCCUCUAUCCCCCCCUUUUUCCUCCCCUUCAUCUCUGUCUCUGUUACAACCCAGUCUUUGUCCCCACAUCCCAGAGGCUCUAAAGCUUUACCUGUCCCUGCCCCUGCUGUCACCUCCUCUAUCUCCAUCCAUAUCACCUGUGCUGUCCUUGUCUCCCCCUUUCUGUCUCUCCUAAUUCUAUCUCUCUGUGUCUAUCUCUGGCUUGUCCCUGUUGGUGUUUCAUGGGCUUUCUGACUGGGGGGCCUAUAGAAGUCAUGGGUUUAGCCCUUGUUUCUUAGUCAUUUGGGAGACUUUGAGAGUUGGAGGUUUCAGUGACCUCUAGCAGGGUAAGGAGUCAGGUCCUAGGACUUUGGCUCAGUCCUGCAGGUGCCUUUUCAUUGUCCCCCAUCCCUCCCCACCUCCAGCCACCCCUGGAUGGGACCUGCACGGUCAUCAUUUUUCUCAUACUAACUUCCAACAUGUUUUAUCCCAAGAGAUUGGAUAUAGUUCUCUGUGCUAUGUACCGUAGGACCUCAUUGCUUAUCCAUUCUAAAUGUAAUAGUUUGCUUCUAUUAAAUCCCAAACUUCCAGUCUAUCUCGCUUCCUUCCCCAUCCCCCCUUGAGAACAUAAGUCUGUUCUCUAUGUCUGUUAAUCUGUUUCUGCCCUGUAGACAGGUUCAUCUAUGCCAUAUUUUAGACUCCACGUAUAAGUGACAUCAUAUGAUAUAUGCCUUUCUCUUUCUGACUUACUUCACUUAGUAUGAAAAUCUCUGGUUGCAUCCACGUUGUUGCAAAUGGCAAGAUUUUAUUCUUUUUUAUGGCUGAGUAGUAUUCCAUUGUGUAUAUGUGCCACGUUUUCUUAAUCCAUUCAUCUGUAGAUGGACGUUUAAGUUGUUUCCCUGUCUUGACUAUUAUGAACAGUGCUGCUGUGAAUAUAGAGGUACAUGUAUCUUUUUGAAUUACAGUUUUGUCUGGAUAUAUGCCCAGGAGUGGGAUUAUAUAAUAUCAUAUGAUAGUUCUAUAUUUAGUUUUCUGAGGAAUCUCCAUACUAUUUCCCACAGUGAUUGUACCAAUUUACAUUCCCACCAGCAGUAUGGGGGGGGGUUCCCUUUUCUCCACACCCUCUCUAGCAUUUUUUAUGUGUAGACUUGUCAAUUUAUCCUGUCUAUUUGUCAGACUAAACUUCACUUCCUCCAAAGGAGCACUAGCACAGAACCUGGGUGUCAUGGCAUUUUAUCAAAGGUGUGGGAGGGAUGGAGGGGUGUUAUUAAAUUGCAACCCUGCAUAGCAAACAAGUUUGAAUAUUGGACAUUUCUGGUGUUUGGGGGAGGGAAGUUUCUGUUCAAAAUUUUAAAACCUUUUUCAUUUUGGAACAGUUUUAGACUUGGAAAAAUGCUGCAAUAGUAGUACAAAAUAUUUCCAUGAACCUUUAAUCCAGAUUCCCCAAGUGUUAACAUCAUACACAGCCACAGUACAAUGAUAGAAAUCAGGUAAUUAAUACUGAUCCAGUGUGGUUAUUCAAACCAGAGACCUUAUUUAAAAUUUCCCAAUUGUUCCAUGAUGUCUUCGGUAUGGCCCGGGGCCAAUCCAGGAUCACAUCUUGAAUUUGGUGGUCCCACCUGCAUAGCCUCUUUUAAUUAGUCUCUCUUUGGUGAGCUGUUCUAUAAAAUGUCCCUUGAUUUGGAUUUAUCUGAUGUUUCCUCCUGAUUAAUUCAGUUUAUAUAUUUUUGGCAAGAAUAGCACAAAAGUGACAUUAGGUCCUUCUUGGUUCUUCCUCUCAGGAGGCACAGGGUGUUUAGAUGUCCCAUCGCUACCGAUGUCAACUUUGAUCCCUUGGGUUUACGUGGUGUCUACCUGGCUUCUCUGCUGUAAAGUUAUCAUUUUCCCCUUAUGGCUUAAUAAAUAUUUUUGGGAGGAUAAAUAUCCUUUGGGAGACUGUAAAUAUCCUCCUUCUCAUCAUAUUUUUACCCUCUAGCUUUAGUAUCCACGAAUGAUUCUUAACAAAAAAAUUUUACUAUUACGGUGUUGGUCAAAUGGCGAUUUUAUAUUUCCAUAGUUCCUUCUAUUUUUAUGAGUUGGAAUUUCAUUGAAAGAAAGGGCUUCUCCUGGAAUUACCACUAUGACACAGAGGGUUAAGGAUCGAGUGUUGUCUCUGCAGUGGCUUGGGUUGUUGCUGAAGGUCCGGUUUGAUCCCCAGCCUGGUGCAGCGGGUUAAGGAUCUGGUGUUGCAGCAGCUAUGGUGUAGGUUGCAGC
This 3604-nucleotide long non-coding RNA is filed under the name Sus scrofa (pig). RNAcentral's name for it is "lncRNA (ENSSSCG00000058173.1)". The record is from RNAcentral. Lineage: Eukaryota; Metazoa; Chordata; Mammalia; Artiodactyla; Suidae.